UACAGAGGGGGCUAGCGUUGUUCGGAAUUACUGGGCUUAAAGCGCAUGUAGGCGGCUUACCAAGUCAGGAGUGAAAUCCCAGGGCUUAACCCUGGAAUUGCUCUUGAUACUAGUAGGCUAGAAGAUGGUAGAGGAUAAUGGAAUUCUUAGUGUAGGAGUGAAAUCCGUAGAUAUUAAGAGGAACACCAGUGGCGAAGGCGGUUAUCUGGGCCAUUCUUGAUGCUGAGAUGCGAAAGUGUGGGGAGCAAACAGG
This 253-nucleotide ribosomal RNA is filed under the name uncultured bacterium. RNAcentral describes it as "partial 16S ribosomal RNA". It matches the Rfam family "Bacterial small subunit ribosomal RNA", at positions 524 to 776 of the family's 1533-position model. The record is from RNAcentral.